UGGCGGACGGGUGAGUAAUGUCUGGGAAACUGCCCGAUGGAGGGGGAUAACUACUGGAAACGGUAGCUAAUACCGCAUAACGUCGCAGGACCAAAGAGGGGGACCUUCGGGCCUCUUGCCAUCGGAUGUGCCCAGAUGGGAUUAGCUAGUAGGUGGGGUAAUGGCUCACCUAGGCGACGAUCCCUAGCUGGUCUGAGAGGAUGACCAGCCACACUGGAACUGAGACACGGUCCAG
This 235-nucleotide ribosomal RNA is filed under the name uncultured bacterium. RNAcentral describes it as "partial 16S ribosomal RNA". It matches the Rfam family "Bacterial small subunit ribosomal RNA", at positions 96 to 334 of the family's 1533-position model. The record is from RNAcentral.